RNAcentral lists this ribosomal RNA (403 nucleotides) under uncultured prokaryote. RNAcentral describes it as "bacterial SSU rRNA". It matches the Rfam family "Bacterial small subunit ribosomal RNA", at positions 355 to 774 of the family's 1533-position model. The record is from RNAcentral.
UGAGGGAUCUUGCGCAAUGGGCGAAAGCCUGACGCAGCGACGCCGCGUGAGGGAAUACGGCCUUCGGGUCUUAAACCUCUGUCAGUGGAGAAGAGUAGGGACGGUACCUACUGAGGAAGCCCCGGCUAACUACGUGCCAGCAGCCGCGGUAAUACGUAGGGGGCGAGCGUUGUCCGGAAUUACUGGGUGUAAAGGGCUCGUAGGCGGGAGAGUAAGGUGCCGACGAAAACCCAGGGCUUAACCCUGGAUUGAUCGGCAAUACUGCUUUCCUUGAGGACAGGAGAGGAGAGUGGAAUUCCUGGUGUAGCGGUGAAAUGCGUAGAUAUCAGGAGGAACACCAGUGGCGAAGGCGGCUCUCUGGCCUGUCCCUGACGCUGAGGGACGAAAGCCAGGGGAGCGAACG